GAUCGGUGGUCACGAAGCUUCAGACACCCAGAUUGUUUCCUUCCAUGGGCCUGGGUAGACAAUCUGCUUGGUCCGUGGAAGAAGACAAUCUGCAUGUCAUGCAUCGUCCAGUGGUU
This is a non-coding RNA of Marchantia polymorpha subsp. ruderalis, 116 nucleotides long. The record is from the annotation of a GenBank genome assembly. Lineage: Eukaryota; Viridiplantae; Streptophyta; Marchantiopsida; Marchantiales; Marchantiaceae.